Molecule: ribosomal RNA, 1445 nt
Filed under: uncultured organism
Description: SSU rRNA
Rfam family: Bacterial small subunit ribosomal RNA
Source: RNAcentral
GCUAGCUACAGGCUUAACACAUGCAAGUCGAGGGGCAGCAUUUCAGUUUGCUUGCAAACUGGAGAUGGCGACCGGCGCACGGGUGAGUAACACGUAUCCAACCUGCCGAUAACUCGGGGAUAGCCUUUCGAAAGAAAGAUUAAUACCCGAUGGUAUAAUCAGACCGCAUGGUCUUGUUAUUAAAGAAUUUCGGUUAUCGAUGGGGAUGCGUUCCAUUAGGCAGUUGGUGAGGUAACGGCUCACCAAACCUUCGAUGGAUAGGGGUUCUGAGAGGAAGGUCCCCCACAUUGGAACUGAGACACGGUCCAAACUCCUACGGGAGGCAGCAGUGAGGAAUAUUGGUCAAUGGGCGCAGGCCUGAACCAGCCAAGUAGCGUGAAGGAUGACUGCCCUAUGGGUUGUAAACUUCUUUUAUAUGGGAAUAAAGUUUUCCACGUGUGGAAUUUUGUAUGUACCAUAUGAAUAAGGAUCGGCUAACUCCGUGCCAGCAGCCGCGGUAAUACGGAGGAUCCGAGCGUUAUCCGGAUUUAUUGGGUUUAAAGGGAGCGUAGGUGGACAGUUAAGUCAGUUGUGAAAGUUUGCGGAUCAACCGUAAAAUUGCAGUUGAUACUGGCUGUCUUGAGUACAGUAGAGGUGGGCGGAAUUCGUGGUGUAGCGGUGAAAUGCUUAGAUAUCACGAAGAACUCCGAUUGCGAAGGCAGCUCACUGGACUGCAACUGACACUGAUGCUCGAAAGUGUGGGUAUCAAACAGGAUUAGAUACCCUGGUAGUCCACACAGUAAACGAUGAAUACUCGCUGUUUGCGAUAUACAGUAAGCGGCCAAGCGAAAGCAUUAAGUAUUCCACCUGGGGAGUACGCCGGCAACGGUGAAACUCAAAGGAAUUGACGGGGGCCCGCACAAGCGGAGGAACAUGUGGUUUAAUUCGAUGAUACGCGAGGAACCUUACCCGGGCUUAAAUUGCAUUUGAAUAUAUUGGAAACAGUAUAGCCGUAAGGCAAAUGUGAAGGUGCUGCAUGGUUGUCGUCAGCUCGUGCCGUGAGGUGUCGGCUUAAGUGCCAUAACGAGCGCAACCCUUAUCUUUAGUUACUAACAGGUCAUGCUGAGGACUCUAGAGAGACUGCCGUCGUAAGAUGUGAGGAAGGUGGGGAUGACGUCAAAUCAGCACGGCCCUUACGUCCGGGGCUACACACGUGUUACAAUGGGGGGUACAGAAGGCAGCUACCUGGUGACAGGAUGCUAAUCCCAAAAGCCUCCCUCAGUUCGGAUCGAAGUCUGCAACCCGACUUCGUGAAGCUGGAUUCGCUAGUAAUCGCGCAUCAGCCAUGGCGCGGUGAAUACGUUCCCGGGCCUUGUACACACCGCCCGUCAAGCCAUGAAAGCCGGGGGUACCUGAAGUACGUAACCGCAAGGAGCGUCCUAGGGUAAAACUGGUAAUUGGGGCUA